AACGAACGCUGGCGGCAUGCCUAACACAUGCAAGUCGAACGAGACCUUCGGGUCUAGUGGCGCACGGGUUCGUAACGCGUGGGAACCUGCCCUUAGGUUCGGAAUAACUCCCCGACAGGGGUACUAAUACCGGAUAGUGUCUUCGGACCAAAGAUUUAUCGCCUUUGGAUGGGCCCGCGUUGGAUUAGCUAGUUGGUAGGGUAAAAGCCUACCAAGGCGACGAUCCAUAGCUGGUCUGAGAGGAUGAUCAGCCACACUGGGACUGAGACACGGCCCAGACUCCUACGGGAGGCAGCAGUGGGGAAUAUUGGACAAUGGGCGAAAGCCUGAUCCAGCAAUGCCGCGUGAGUGAUGAAGGCCUUAGGGUUGUAAAGCUCUUUUACCCGGGAUGAUAAUGACAGUACCGGGAGAAUAAGCUCCGGCUAACUCCGUG
This 433-nucleotide ribosomal RNA is filed under the name uncultured bacterium. Its description in RNAcentral is "partial 16S ribosomal RNA". It matches the Rfam family "Bacterial small subunit ribosomal RNA", at positions 29 to 507 of the family's 1533-position model. The record is from RNAcentral.